UAGAUAUUGACUUGAUUAACAAUUUAACUUCUUGUCAGAUUUGCUCUAGAUGCUUUGGUUUCAUAGUUAUAAGCCAAAAACUGCAUUUUACCCCUAUGUUCUAUUUUUAGCCGUGGCGGCCAUCUUGGUUGAAUGGCCAGGUCAUCGGACACAUUUUUCAAACUAGAUACCCCAAAGAUGAUUGUGGCCCCCUAGUAGUUUCAGUGGAGAUUUUGUAAAAGAUUACUUAAGAUUUAUGAAAAAUGGUUAAAGAUUGACUAUAAAGGGCAAUAACUCCUAAAGGGUCAAAUGACCAUUUUGGUCAUGUUGACUUAUUUGUAGAUCUUACUUUGCUGAACAUUAUUGCUGUUUACAAUUUAUCUCUAUCUAUAAUAAUAUUCAAGAUAAUAACCAAAAACAGCAAAAUUUCCU
Molecule: long non-coding RNA, 411 nt
Filed under: Mytilus galloprovincialis (Mediterranean mussel)
Lineage: Eukaryota; Metazoa; Mollusca; Bivalvia; Mytilida; Mytilidae
Source: RNAcentral